Amphimedon queenslandica is the source of this 354-nucleotide long non-coding RNA. RefSeq lists it as uncharacterized. The transcript is spliced from 3 exons. Lineage: Eukaryota; Metazoa; Porifera; Demospongiae; Haplosclerida; Niphatidae. The record is from RefSeq and is a predicted model, not a curated record.
AACUCCAGGCUCUGUAGCAUCAUCACACAACCCUUCAUUAAGCAACAAAUAUCAUUUUUAUUAUAUCUUUUGUAUUUUUAUUAAUAAUAGAUUAUCAUGAGAAGCUUGAAGUUAAAAUUGCUGAAAUAUUGGAAGAGAAGACACAAGUAGAGGAGAAGAAACAGAUUAUUACUGAAGAUUAUGAGAAACUUAAAAUCAAAGUAGCUGAACUAUUGGAGGAGAAAGAGGAACAAUAUCUCAAGGAGAAACAGAUCAUUAUUGACGACAAUCAAAAUCUUAUUUUGGAGAAAGACAAAGUUAUAGCCAAACUGACAUCACAAGUAGAGGAACAAUCACAGAAUGAGAAACAGAUCA